This is a long non-coding RNA of Cucumis melo (muskmelon), 1144 nucleotides long. RefSeq lists it as uncharacterized. The record is from RefSeq and is a predicted model, not a curated record. The transcript is spliced from 2 exons. NCBI's taxonomy places the organism in Eukaryota, Viridiplantae, Streptophyta, Magnoliopsida, Cucurbitales, Cucurbitaceae.
UUCCGUCAUGUUCUAUGCCUAAGAAUAGUCUUUACGGUUUGGGAAUGGUUGGACCCUUUUCGAGAAACUACUACUUCUUGUUUCUUACUACUCAUUCACUGUCCAUAUGCAUUUCCUUUGCUAAUCGUUCCUACAAAUUUACAAGGUCCUUUGAUGAAUGGAAUUCCAUUUUGUCCUAGCGAUGUUUGCCGGAGUUAUUGAUUGUCGUUAAUCAGCUCCCGAAAGGCAGUCAGCAGCAAAUUUCGAGAACUUGCGAACAUGGCAAGAUCAUAGACUAUAAUUAGGAGCUGAGAAAUUUGGUACCUUUUUCAAAUGGGUCAUUAUUUUUUCUGCAAUUCGCCUCGUCUCACUGUCCCCUUGAUGGGAAGCAGUAGCCAAAAUUGCAGGCAACGAUCUGUCCUGUGAUAUAUUGGACAUUGAUUCUUCCCCACCAUUGAGCAAGAACUUUUCCAUCAACCAAAGUGAUUUAUGCCAUACAGAUUCUUGCUUAUGGAUUCCCACCACAUUCAGGACAGGCUUAUUGUGUUAAAUUCGUUCAGCAGCCUCACACUUCUGUCCAGAUGCACUUCGUCAUCCACAGGCGUCCAAAUGCCUGACAAAGCUGCCUCAACUACCUCUUCCUUCUCAUUGUCUAAAAUGUCAAUAGCUUUUCAUUUGCCUUUGCAUGGACUAAACAGAAUGCGUUUUGUGAAGAGCAAGCCCCUUUAUGAACUGGGCAUUCUCGUAACUGACCCUUCUGUGAUGGACCUAGCGACAGAAGCUUGGAUUGUAUGUGAUCAGCAACAUUGUAGUCUUCUACGUACUUGGCCAUAGCGUUCUCUCUGAAAAGGGUUUAAUUCCAUCUAUGGUUGAUGGGUCCAUGGAUUCUAAACCUUGAAGUCAUGCAGACUGAUAUCCUAAGAUAGCGAAAAGAAAUUCCCAUUUUGCGGUGAUUUCAAACUCUCUCCCCGGGGCAAGCCCGUCCAGUAAGAGAUUCUUUCUGUCCUAAUUCCCUCUCUUAAGCAAAUGCUAACCACAAGAAAAAGAUUUUUUAAAAAAAUAUGUUCCUCGACGUGUUUUGUAUAUUACUAAACUAAUUGCACGGUGAAUAGUAUUCAUUUUUGUUUAUUACUUAAAUCAAGAAGCAGAAGCUUUGAUAUUGAUA